This 734-nucleotide ribosomal RNA is filed under the name uncultured beta proteobacterium. Its description in RNAcentral is "bacterial SSU rRNA". It matches the Rfam family "Bacterial small subunit ribosomal RNA", at positions 605 to 1337 of the family's 1533-position model. The record is from RNAcentral. Lineage: Bacteria; Pseudomonadati; Pseudomonadota; Betaproteobacteria.
GGGCUUAACCUGGGAACUGCGCUUGUGACUGCAAGGCUCGAGUGCGGCAGAGGGGGGUGGAAUUCCACGUGUAGCAGUGAAAUGCGUAGAGAUGUGGAGGAACACCGAUGGCGAAGGCAGCCCCCUGGGUCGACACUGACGCUCAUGCACGAAAGCGUGGGUAGCAAACAGGAUUAGAUACCCUGGUAGUCCACGCCCUAAACGAUGCCAACUAGGUGUUGGGGAAGGAGACUUCCUUAGUACCGUAGCUAACGCGUGAAGUUGGCCGCCUGGGGAGUACGGUCGCAAGAUUAAAACUCAAAGGAAUUGACGGGGACCCGCACAAGCGGUGGAUGAUGUGGAUUAAUUCGAUGCAACGCGAAAAACCUUACCUACCCUUGACAUGCCAGGAAUCCUGCUGAGAGGCGGGAGUGCUCGAAAGAGAGCCUGGACACAGGUGCUGCAUGGCUGUCGUCAGCUCGUGUCGUGAGGUGUUGGGUUAAGUCCCGCAACGAGCGCAACCCUUGUCAAUAGUUGCCAUCAUUCAGUUGGGCACUCUAUUGAGACUGCCGGUGACAAACCGGAGGAAGGUGGGGAUGACGUCAAGUCAUCAUGGCCCUUACGGCCAGGGCUACACACGUACUACAAUGGUCGGUACAGAGGGUUGCGAUACCGCGAGGCGGAGCCAAUCCCAGAAAGCCGAUCUCAGUCCGGAUCGGAGUCUGCAACUCGACUCCGUGAAGUCGGAAUCGCUA